Molecule: long non-coding RNA, 605 nt
Organism: Amblyraja radiata (thorny skate)
Lineage: Eukaryota; Metazoa; Chordata; Chondrichthyes; Rajiformes; Rajidae
Exons: 2
Source: RefSeq, a predicted model, not a curated record
AGUGGAACAAGUUGCAGACAGGAAGCUAACAUGUUGUUUCGGCAGACCAGAACCAUCGUUUUGACAGCUUAACCGGCAGAGCAGCUGAGUGCAACAGCAAAAUCCAUUACAAGUUCUCAUGCAAGGUCGUGCCUUCUUUGUACAGCUGUAAUCCAAGAAGAAUGGCUAUUAACUGUCCAUAAGGAUUGUGAACAACAAAGGAUGAAUGGAGAGAAACAUAUUGCAUUGAAACACAAAGGACUAUUUCUGCAGUACAUCUGUACAUUCUGUUCAGAACAGAUUAAGGCUAUAAAAACACAGGAGCAGAAUUAGGCCAUUCAGCCCAUCGAGUCUCUUCUGCCAUUCGAUUGUGGCCGAUCCAUUUUCCCCUCUCAACCCCAUUUUCCCGCCAAAGCACACACUUGGAUUUUUUUCACUGCAAUCAAAAAAUGUAAACGAACAACAAAGAGGCGAGAUAAGAGUGAAGUUUUGUAGUGUUUAUUUUCUAGCAGACACACUACAUAAAAGUCCCUUUAAAUUAGUGUACAUUAUUACCCUCAUUAGGGCAAAGCCCUCAGGGUGCUGCAGAAACUGUUUUGAAGGGAGCUUUAGCUAAGAAAAAAAAA